Molecule: long non-coding RNA, 398 nt
Filed under: Nicotiana benthamiana
Lineage: Eukaryota; Viridiplantae; Streptophyta; Magnoliopsida; Solanales; Solanaceae
Description: long non-coding RNA (NBEN_LNC042490)
Source: RNAcentral
GAACUUACAAUGAGGUUCAAGCCUCACGUCCUUAUGGUUUUGGCUCAGAUUGCUUACACUUUUUUAUACUUCAUAACUUAAGCUUCCUUCAGUUCUUGAGCCAAGGGUAUAGCGGAAGCAGUCUCUCUACCUUCAUAAGGUAGAUAAGGUUUGCAUACACAUCACCCUUCCCAGACUUGCACCGGGUUUUUUGUUGUUGUUAUUAACGGAAGCUUCCUUCAAUCAUGGAGAAUCAUCAUGUCUACAUAACUUAUCGGCAUAUUGUAGCUGGUUUUUCCAUUCUACCCUUUGCCUAUUUUCUUGAAAGGUAUAUCCAAAGUCAUCUCCUUCAUUCUUCAUCAAUGUAGGAAUGCAAGUGCUCUUAGCUUGACAAAGAGGCAAGACGGGACUGGUAUCGG